Molecule: ribosomal RNA, 492 nt
Filed under: uncultured bacterium
Lineage: Bacteria
Description: partial 16S ribosomal RNA
Rfam family: Bacterial small subunit ribosomal RNA
Source: RNAcentral
AGUGAACGCUGGCGGUAGGCCUAACACAUGCAAGUCGAACGGCAGCACAGUAAGAGCUUGCUCUUACGGGUGGCGAGUGGCGGACGGGUGAGGAAUACAUCGGAAUCUACUUUUUCGUGGGGGAUAACGUAGGGAAACUUACGCUAAUACCGCAUACGACCUACGGGUGAAAGCAGGGGAUCUUCGGACCUUGCGCGAUUGAAUGAGCCGAUGUCGGAUUAGCUAGUUGGCGGGGUAAAGGCCCACCAAGGCGACGAUCCGUAGCUGGUCUGAGAGGAUGAUCAGCCACACUGGAACUGAGACACGGUCCAGACUCCUACGUUGGGCAGCAGUGGGGAAUAUUGGACAAUGGGCGCAAGCCUGAUCCAGCCAUACCGCGUGGGUGAAGAAGGCCUUCGGGUGGUAAAGCCCUUUUGUUGGGAAAGAAAAGCAGCAGGUUAAUACCCCGCUGUUCUGACGGUACCCAAAGAAUAAGCACCGGCUAACUUCGUG